This 9220-nucleotide long non-coding RNA is filed under the name Mizuhopecten yessoensis (Yesso scallop). Its description in RNAcentral is "uncharacterized LOC110445982". The record is from RNAcentral. Lineage: Eukaryota; Metazoa; Mollusca; Bivalvia; Pectinida; Pectinidae.
AAGCUACUGAGUUCAUUCCUCGGUAAGCUGGUGAGUUUAUUCCUUGGUAAGCUAAUGAGUUUAUUCCUCGGUAAGCUGCUGAGUUUAUUCCUUGGUAAGCUGCUGAGUUUAUUCCUUGGUAAGCUACUGAGUUAAUUCCUUGGUAAGCUACUGAGUUUAUUCCUUGGUAAGCUGCUGAGUUUAUUCCUCCGUAAGCUACUGAGUUUAUUCCUUGGUAAGCUACUGAGUUCAUUCCUCAGUAAGCUGCAGAGUUUAUUCCUUGGUAAGCUACUGAAUUUAUUCCUCGGUAAGCUACUGAGUUUAUUCCUCGGUAAGCUACUGAGUUCAUUCCUCGGUAAGCUAGUGAGUUUAUUCCUUGGUAAGCUAGUGAGUUUAUUCCUUGGUAAGCUACUGAGUUUAUUCCUCGGUAAGCUACUGAGUUCAUUCCUCGGUAAGCUACUGAGUUUAUUCCUUGGUAAACUACUGAGUUUAUUCCUCUGUAAACUACUGAGUUUAUUCCUUGGUAAGCUACUGAGUUUAUUCCUUGGUAAGCUACUGAGUUAAUUCCUUGGUAAGCUACUGAGUUAAUUCCUUGGUAAGCUGCUGAGUUUAUUCCUCCGUAAGCUGCUGAGUUUAUUCCUUGGUAAGCUGCUGAGUUUAUUCCUUGGUAAGCUAGUGAGUUUAUUCCUUGGUAAGCUACUGAGUUAAUUCCUUGGUAAACUACUGAGUUUAUUCCUCGGUAAGCUACUGAGUUCAUUCCUCGGUAAGCUACUGAGUUUAUUCCUUGGUAAGCUACUGAGUUUAUUCCUUGGUAAGCUACUGAGUUCAUUCCUUGGUAAGCUAAUGAGUUCAUUCCUUGGUAAGCUAGUAAGUUUAUUCCUUGGUAAACUACUGAGUUAAUUCCUCUGUAAACUACUGAGUUCAUUCUUUGGUAAGCUACUGAGUUUAUUCCUCGGUAAGCUACUGAGUUUAUUCCUUGGUAAGCUACUGAGUUCAUUCCAUUAAUUAUUUAUGUCUGCCCUCACCUUUUUUUUUUAGAUGUUUUUGUAGUUAAAUAAGGUGUUAGCUGUAAAUCCUUGUAGUGUUGAUAAUUGUCAUGGAUUCUCUUUCAGUCCUGAAAGCAGAGCCCAUAAAUAUGAAACAAUUCCCUUACUCGAACUCUUUCUGACAUGUCAGAUCUUUCUUCGUAACAAGAAAGUUGUCUGUCAAUAUAGAACUUACUUAGUAUUGCGAGAAUAGUUUUAUGAAUAUGGGGCCUGGAAACUUAAGUUGACAAUAAUGUCCAUUCUGCCCACUGUUAUCCUCUUUACUUUUCUUGUCUACUACCAAUCAUAGCAGACAUUAUCCAGUGUUACAGUAUCCAGUGUUACAUUAUCCAGUGUUACAGUAUCCAGUGUUACAGUAUCCAGUGUUACAGUAUCCAGUGUUACAUUAUCCAGUGUUACAGUAUCCAGUGUUACAGUAUCCAGUGUUACAGUAUCCAGUGUUACAGUAUCCAGUGUUACAGUAUCCAGUGUUACAGUAUCCAGUGUUACAGUAUCCAGUAUUACAGUAUCCAGUGUUACAGUAUCCAUUGUUAUCCAGUGUUACAGUAUCCAGUGUUACAGUAUCCAGUAUUACAGUAUCCAGUGUUACAGUAUCCAGUGUUACAGUAUCCAGUGAGUUCAUUACUACCUGAUCCUUAAUUGUCUUGGUGGAUGUAGACCUGAGAAAUGAUUUAAACUGUUACGUAGGCCCCCAGAUAUUGUGCAUCAUUCAGUAGGGUUUGGAUGUAAGGGAUUUAACUUGUAAUGAUACAUGUAUAGAUACAACAUUGAGUGCAAUAAUUAUGACAUGCCUUUUACUUACAUAUUUUAUUAUUAACCAUAUAUUGUUGUGUUUGUGCAAGUUUGGGUGGUAUAUAAUGAACUGAUACUGGUUGAUGAAUUUUUGUUUUACACUAUUAUUGUAAAUACGGUCUAAUAUAAGUGACCAAGCUUUCACAUACUUUAUGUGGCAAAUGAUUGUCAAUAAGUUCCUGUGUAUAACCAUAUCACUGUUGUUUGAUAAUAAUAACACACAAAAUCAAAAAAAGCUGUUUUAUUAGUACUUGUCCAAGCAAGACAGUGAAAUAAAACGUAAUAUUAUACCUGCCAAGUCUGCACAUGCACAGGUCAAUCUUCUGAACACCACCCCCCCCCCCCCCCCCCCUCCUAUGACCUGUGUAGCUUGUAAUUAAAAUUUAGAACCUCAUGAAUUAAUACUGCUCAUCCCAGCAUUAAAAAUGAUAACGAUUCAACUUUAUAAAGUUUUAAAACCUAAAAUACUCCUUUUAAAAGAAUAAAAGUAAAUUUUGAUUUUUGAAUGUCAUUCUACUGGUUUUGAUGACUUUGAAAAUUUUACAUACUGAAAUAUUAAGCUGCAAUUAGAAGGUUUGCAUUUUGACCCAAACUGACCCUUGAUUGUUGAGAACUUGGCAGGUAUGUUUGUUGGAAACAUUUUUGAUUGAACGUGUUUGUGGGUAAAUGUGGGUCACUAAGUGAGGUGUAGAAGUUGAUCAUCCCCCAUUGAGCCAUUUAUUUGUCCUAUCUACUGCAGUAGAUACUUGCCUUACACACUGAAAUAGUUUUAUUUUUGUGAUGCACCUAUUUCAAUAUUUAUAAAUAUUUUAUGUGAACACAAGAGUUCGAAAAUUGUAUGAUAGAUAAAAAAAAUGUUGCCUACUGCAUGUUGUAUUGAUAUGAUACUUAUAACAUGUAAUGACCUACCAUGUCCUGUUUGUUAGAGACCUGCUAAACUUUGGCAGGGUCAGACAACUCAUGACUGGUCUUUUUGACUUACACACUAAGGAAGGAUCGUCGUUGUUGGUAUUUUUGUGUUGUUAGCCAAGGUGUUCAGUACAGAAUGAAUUUUACAUUGAAGAUAAUUUAUUAUAAUAAUUGUAUAUUUAAUUUUCUGAUUUUAUAGUUACUAACUUUCAAAAGGUUUGGAAUUUUAGACAUAGUUUGGGUGCAGGUGUAUUCAUGAUCCAGACCUAGUUUAAGUGCAAGUAGGUCACUGCUGUAGAUAUAGCCUGGUUACGAGAGGGUUUUAACUCUUGAUAUAGUUUAGGUGCAAGAAAGGUUAUACUCUUAAUACAUCGUAGUUUGGGUACAUGUUAUGGUCUUGUUUUAGUACACUGAAGGCAGUAAAGAAAAUGUUGUCAUUUAAUGGUCUAGCAUUUACUCCUACACUGUAAAUUGAACGUCCUGGGUUAUUAAAUAUAUAUUUGUCCACAGUCCAGAGAUGCUGGCUGUUGUGAAAGUUGUACAUAACAUGGCAUGUGUGUUGUGUAUAUAUAUAUACACAAAAUGUGAAAAUGAUGGUUUGAUAACCUGUAUAACAUAGGAAAUCCUGGUUCUGUUGGUUGACAUUGUACAUACCUGAACAGGUUAAUGCAUGCAAAUGUGUAAUAUUAGAGAGUCUCCUGAAAUACCUAGUCCCUUGUUGUAAAUAACACAACGCUUUUGUCCUAUUAAGUUUAAAUGUAUUUCCAUUCCUUUUUUGAAGAAGAAUAUUGAAAGUAUAUAUUUACUGUUAAGUAUACGGAGUGUUUCCCAGUCUUUUUAUCUUUCCUAGGUUCAAAAAUAUUUCCUCUGCAUAAUUUUCUAAUAAAGCUUAUCAAAGUUAAAAGUGUCACAAAUCAAGUUAUUUUCUUAAACCUGAAUGGGAAGUCUUUGUUCUGAUUUAAUGAGGUGUGUAGACAAUUUUCAAGGAUGUUUGUAAGAGCUAUCGACUGUACAUGUUAACAGUCGAUAAACAAGGGCUAAAUUGAUAAAUGUUAUUUCUUGUGGUGACAGGUGAUAUUGGUUUUAUUACAUACCUAUAAUUGUUUUCACCUGAUUCAUAAUAAAACGAGGUUUAAUAUAUUCUGUCAAAACUGGUCUCUGUACAACCUGGAUUUUUGUCUAAAAUGACCAACUUAGUUUCAUCAUUCAACAAUGACAAUAUAUAUCAAAUAGCUUACUCUCUACAUACCCUAGAUUCUCUAUCAGUCUGAAUUCCUAACCUGAAAGCAGAGCCCAUAAAUAUGAAACGAUUCCCUUGCUCGAACUCUUUCUGAUAUGUCAGAUCUCUCUUCGUAACAAGAAAGUUGUCUGUCAAUAUAGAACUUACUUUGUAUUGCGAGAACAGUUUUAUGAAUAUGGGGCCUGGAAACUUAAGUUGACAAUAAUGUCCAUUCUGCCCACCGUUAUCCUCCUUACUUUUCUUGUCUACUACCAAUCAUAGCAGACAUUAUCCAGUGUUACAGUAUCCAGUGAUUUACAGGAUUACAGUGUGUGAUCUAGUCAUUUACCAACAGUGUCAACUGUAAACUGAGAUUUAAUGUUUAUGUACAACAGAUAGCUUAAAAGGUUAAAUAUCAAUCUUAGAUACCACAUUGGUUUACAGAAUGGUUUGGGAACUUCCUUCCUUGUACUUGAGUAUAAUGUAAAUGUUCUGUUUAACACCCUAUUAUACUGCACAAAGGCUAAAUCUAUUAGGAUUUUUCUCUGUUCGGUUACUGUUUUUAUUUAACCUUGCUUCAUUUGUGUGUCACACCUUACACAGAAUUCUGUGUGAUGCGCCGUACAGAGAUAUUGUACUGUGUUGAUGAAUGCCUGGGAUAUUGUUUUAGGAUUGUACAUAUAAGGUUGGUAGAGAGGAGGUGUGUAACCUCUGUCUACAUGUAAAUGGUGAUAUAAACUUGCGGUGUGCUGUGAUCUAUUUAACCCCAACCCUUUUCUCUUUAAUGCUAUCAUUUGUUUUUGUUGUCUGUUAUUGUAUCCAUAGUUUUAUCUCAACCAAUGUUUGUGAUAGUGGAGAAAUUGAAAAAAAUGUUUCAUCAAAAUCAUGUUGAGUAUCUUUACUUUAAAUUUUUGAUAAUUAAACAUGUCAGUUUCUGCCAUGAUUUGUUAUGAGUUUAUAAUCAGUACAUGAUUAUGAACUUAAUGAGGUGUACAAUUGAUAUACAGAGCAUUGCUGCUAUACCCUACUAAACACCUGACUGAGUGUAAUAAUAGCUGUCAGGAAUUUAUACAUCUGUACAGUAAAACAGGUUUACUAGUCCAUGAUCACUCAUAAGGUCAAGAGCACCAUCAUGGUCAAAUAUAUUAUUUGCCAUUGGCAAUUUUAUGAAAUAUUUUCUACAGAUGUAUAUUUGUAUUGCUGAUAAAAUACAUCUUGUGGGUCAAUACUUGGAGUCAGAAAAAAAUUGUGGAACUCUUCAUGAUUAUACAACUUGUGCCAUGGUACCCUUAGUCUUAAUGUGAAUUCAUGCUUAGAACAAAAGCCCCCACACACCAGUGUGAGGUUUUAUCUUGUAAACAUAUUUUUUUCUGAAGAGAAGUAAUUUAUGGUUUGUGUUACUGCAGAGAAGGAAUUUCCUCUGUUCCCCGGAUUGCAUUGAUAAUGUGUUCUGUCUUGGGGUCCAUUUUGAACUUGUUUUUCUGUAGAGAAGUACUUUUCUCUGUCCUCAGGUUCAUGAUAAACAUGUUUUAUUGUAGAGAGUGAAUUACCUAAGUCUCCUUGGGUUUGUUACAGACAUACUGAACUGUAGUGAACUUAUUUCCUGUGGCCCUUGGUGUUCAUUAUAAACAUAUUUACUGUGGUCCAUUUUAAAUGUCCAUUUUAAAUGUGAUUUACUGUAGAAAAGUGAUUUACUGUAGAAAAGUGAUUUACUGUAGAAAAGUGAUUUACUGUAGAAAAGCGACUCCUUAUAUACAUAAUAAUAACACACAUUUCUUAUCGUCAGAUGCUGUUGAUCAAGUGCUUCUCUGGUUAUGUGAAUUAAAAGUCUUUUAAAUACGUCAGGGUGUAUGUAUGAUGAUGUAAACAUGUCUGGGUGUAUGUAUGGUGGGUGUGUGUAUGGUGAUGUAAACACAUCUGGGUGUAUGUAUGGUGUGUGUGUGUAUGGUGAUAUAAACACAUCUGGGUGUAUGUAUGGUGUGUGUGUGUAUUGUGAUAUAAACACGUCUGGGUGUAUGUAUGGUGAUGUAAACACGUCUGGGUGUUUGUAUGGGGAUGUAAACACGUCUGGGUGUAUGUAUGGUGAUAUAAACACGUCUGGGUGUUUGUAUGAUGAUGUUAACACGUCUGGGUGUAUGUAUGGUGAUGUUAACACGUCUGGGUGUAUGUAUGGUGAUGUAAACACGUCUGGGUGUUUGUAUGGGGAUGUAAACACGUCUGGGUGUAUGUAUGGUGAUAUAAACACGUCUGGGUGCAUGUAUGGUGAUGUAAACACGUCUGGGCGUAUGUAUGGUGAUGUAAACACGUCUGGGUGUAUGUAUGGUGAUGUAAACACGUCUGGGUGUAUGUUUGGUGAUAUACACACGUCUGGGUGUAUGUAUGGUGAUGUAAACACGUCUGGGUGUAUGUAUGGUGAUAUAAACACGUCUGGGUGUAUGUAUGGUGAUGUAAACACGUCUGGAUGUAUGAUGUAGUACUACUGUUCUUUAUAUGGCAAUUAACUAUUAACAUCUGUCAGAGGCAGAGAACUCAUCUAUGGUUAAGUUUUUUUAGAAUUUUGUUCCUUGAGGGUAUUGCUGCAGCUGAUUGUAUAUUUUCUUUGUUUUUUUUCCUCUGUUUUCCAACCACAUACAAGCAUACCACACUGAAGUUGAAAUCAAUAAUCCAUCCUUUCACUAGGGGUGUCCCAAAAUAUAAGGUGUGUAAUACUUUGAAGACAAGUCAUCUCCAAAGCUGGGACUCUUUAAGCCAAUUAACACUGUGAACAACCCAUUGUAUUGUGUGGAAGAAAUGUAAGACAACCCAUUGUAUUGUGUGGAAGAAAUGUAAGACAACCCGUUCUAUUGUGUGGAAGAAAUGUAAGACAACCCAUUCUAUUGUGUGGAAGAAAUAUAAGACAACCCGUUCUAGUGUGGAAGAAAUAUAAGACAACCCAUUGUAUUUGUGUUGGAAGAAAUUUAAUACAACCUGUUGUAUUGUGUGGAAGAAUUGUCAUAAACUGAUGUGUAAGAAAAGUCAACAUACAAAUGUAUGGUAUAAUCUGAUAAACUCAAAUAAUAUUUGGUCCAAGUAAAACACUUCAGGUUUUGGAGUGUUUGAAAUGCUAAGAAUUAUAUUGCUGAGGAUGGUUGGCACUAGGGGGAGUUUUGAUGACGUAGGGUGUGUGUACGAGUUAGGUAGGGUGCUUACGGGUUAGGGUUGUUUUUGAGUAAGGAGAGGUGAUUAAAAGUUAUGAAGAGUGUUUAUGACUUAAGACGUGUUUAUGGGUUAAUUGGGUAUUAUUGAGUUAGGAGAGAUGUUUAUGAGUUAGGAGGGAUGGUUGUGCGUAAGGAAGGGGUGUUUGUUAAUUAGGAAGGGUGUUCAUGAGUUGGGAGGGGUGCGCUAGGAGGGGUGUUUGUUAGUUAGGAAGGAGGUUUAUGAGUUAGGGGGGGUGAUUGUGAGUUAAUGAGUUUAGGAAGGUGUGAGUUCUGGGGUUUUGUGGGUUAGGAGAUACGUAUAGGAGUUUGGAGCCUUUAUUAGUUAGGAAGGGUUGUCCAGGUUUAUGAUAACUCCUGUCGCUAGAUCAGAGAGUGUAUUGCCGUGUAGGGGAAUUCUGUGGUAAGAAUACUUAAUGCUUCUGUAUCAACAAGGAAUGUUACUGUAACAUGAUCGAUCCUCAUCUCAGUCGAUUCCUUAAUGACUGAAAAUAUGGUGGUUUCUUUUAUUAAAAGGAGAAGUGACAAGUCAGAAAGUGAAUCAAAAUGUAUACGAAAAGCAUUUUGUUGGAGGAUAAAACCUUGCCACUGAUCAUGAUAAUAAAUUUUAGUUUUGCUAUAUUUGCAUUAAGCUUAUGUCUGUUCCACAUCUCACCGGUCAACUGUUAAAUAGUCCAACACAAAGUACAGCAAUGUUUUUUUAUAUGUCCAAAUAAGGUAUGGUUAUUGACUUGCCACACCUUUGAAUGUCCAUAUAUAUACAUGUAUAUUAAAAAUAAUAGCCUAUGGUUUGUGAUGCCCAUGUAAGGAAUUUCCCAUGGUUCGUCAUGCCUGUGUAAGGAAUUUCCCAUGGGUUGUCACACUUUUGCAUCCAUUUCCAUGUAAUUACGGUACUGUUGUUGAUUUGUCCUACUCUGUAAUGUGCAAUACCUCACUGUUCUCUUGUGGUACGGAAUUAUACCACUUACAUUUGCAUGGCUUUAACUCCUUGUGAUAGAGUAACCUAUAACAUGAAAUGUUCAUGGGUAUUUUCUUUUACAGUUUGAAGCAAUAAUGAUUGUUUUGUAUUACAUUUAAACAGUAGUUCAGUAUAUCAGCUAAGUUUUGUAUUUCUAGGUUCCACAGCAACCAGGAAAACCAAGAAUAUUUACUCAUAACAAACAUUUUAUGUUAUAUUAGGUUGGACUUUUGAAGUGAUCAGUGAACCUUUGACCUCCACAGAGUUGUGGUCAGUGCACCAUUGCAAAUUGACCUCCAUGCAGCUGUGGUCAGUACACCAUUGACCUCCAUGGAGUUGUAGUCUGUGCACCAUUGACCUCCACAGAGUUGUGGUUAGUGCACCAUUGACCUCCAGUGAGUUGUGGUUAGUGCACCAUUGACCUCCAGUGAGUUGUGGUCAGUGCACCAUUGACCCCCAGUGAGUUGUGGUCAGUACACCAUUGACCUCCAGUGAGUUGUGGUCAGUGCACCAUUGACCUCCAGUGAGUUGUGGUCAGUGCACCAUUGACCUUCAGUGAGUUGUGGUCAGGGCACCAUUGACCUCCAGUGAGUUGUGGUCAGUUCACCAUUGACCUCCAGUGAGUUGUGGUCAGUGCACCAUUGCCCUUCAGUGAGUUGUGGUCAGUGCACCAUUGACCUGCAGUGAGUUGUGGUCAGUGCACCAUUGACCUUCAGUGAGUUGUGGGCAGUGCACCAUUGACCUCCAGUGAGUUGUGGUCAGAGCACCAUUGACUUCCAGUGAGUUGUGGUCAGUGCACCAUUGACUUCCAGUGAGUUGUGGUCAGUGCACCAUUGACCUCCAGUGAGUUGUGGUCAGUGCACUAUUGACCUUCAGUGAGUUGUGGUGAGUGCACCAUUGACCUCCAGUGAGUUGUGGUCAGUGCACCAUUGACCAGUGCAUGACAGCUACUGCACCAUUGACUAUGGAGUUGAACUGUUUAAGUGGUGCGACAGAAAGCCUACACACAAGUAUUAUUAUAACAUAUAUUUUUUGCUUUUGCUCUGUCUCAAUGGGAUGUAUGUCAUUGAUACAGUUUGUUGCCAUGUGGUUAGACACCAAUAAACGUACUACACAUACUAAA